This 289-nucleotide unclassified non-coding RNA is filed under the name Hevea brasiliensis (rubber tree). The record is from RNAcentral. Lineage: Eukaryota; Viridiplantae; Streptophyta; Magnoliopsida; Malpighiales; Euphorbiaceae.
UCAGGUACGAGAGAGAGAGAGAGAGAGAAAUUCAAGAAACUGCAAUCAACACAUUUAAGAAUCAAACAACAAGAAUCAGAAACAUAAAAGCUAGAUAUUCCGAGACUAGUAGGAUCAAGAAGACAAAAAUAUGAUGAGAAUCAAAGAAAACAGACAAGAAGAGCAAGUAGAACGAGUAUAUGUACAUAGAUAGCUAGCCAGAGAGACUCCUUUGGAAGGCUAGCUAGCUAUUAGCCUAAACCAAGAAGAUAAAAUGCAGCGGCUGUCUUUCUCUAAGCUUUGUUUGGAU